This 814-nucleotide ribosomal RNA is filed under the name uncultured soil bacterium. RNAcentral describes it as "bacterial SSU rRNA". It matches the Rfam family "Bacterial small subunit ribosomal RNA", at positions 56 to 866 of the family's 1533-position model. The record is from RNAcentral.
UGCAAGUCGAACGGCAGCACGGGAGCAACCCUGGUGGCGAGUGGCGAACGGGUGAGUAAAGCAUCGGAACGUGCCCAGUCGUGGGGGAUAACGUAGCGAAAGCUACGCUAAUACCGCAUACGAUCUGUGGAUGAAAGCGGGGGACCGUAAGGCCUCGCGCGAUUGGAGCGGCCGAUGUCAGAUUAGGUAGUUGGUGGGGUAAAGGCUCACCAAGCCGACGAUCUGUAGCUGGUCUGAGAGGACGACCAGCCACACUGGGACUGAGACACGGCCCANACUCCUACGGGAGGCAGCAGUGGGGAAUUUUGGACAAUGGGCGCAAGCCUGAUCCAGCAAUGCCGCGUGCAGGAUGAAGGCCUUCGGGUUGUAAACUGCUUUUGUACGGAGCGAAAAGGCUUCCACUAAUACUGGGGGCUCAUGACGGUACCGUAAGAAUAAGCACCGGCUAACUACGUGCCAGCAGCCGCGGUAAUACGUAGGGUGCAAGCGUUAAUCGGAAUUACUGGGCGUAAAGCGUGCGCAGGCGGUCUUGUAAGACAGGUGUGAAAUCCCCGGGCUUAACCUGGGAACUGCACUUGUGACUGCAAGGCUGGAGUACGGCAGAGGGGGAUGGAAUUCCGCGUGUAGCAGUGAAAUGCGUAGAUAUGCGGAGGAACACCGAUGGCGAAGGCAAUCCCCUGGGCCUGUACUGACGCUCAUGCACGAAAGCGUGGGGAGCAAACAGGAUUAGAUACCCUGGUAGUCCACGCCCUAAACGAUGUCAACUGGUUGUUGGGNCNUCACUGACUCNGUANCGAAGCUAACGCGUGAAGUU